GUGUGUGAAGAAGGCCUUUUGGUUGUAAAGCACUUUAAGCGAGGAGGAGGCUACUCUAGUUAAUACCUAGGGAUAGUGGACGUUACUCGCAGAAUAAGCACCGGCUAACUCUGUGCCAGCAGCCGCGGUAAUACAGAGGGUGCAAGCGUUAAUCGGAUUUACUGGGCGUAAAGCGCGCGUAGGUGGCCAAUUAAGUCAAAUGUGAAAUCCCCGAGCUUAACUUGGGAAUUGCAUUCGAUACUGGUUGGCUAGAGUAUGGGAGAGGAUGGUAGAAUUCCAGGUGUAGCGGUGAAAUGCGUAGAGAUCUGGAGGAAUACCGAUGGCGAAGGCAGCCAUCUGGCCUAAUACUGACACUGAGGUGCGAAAGCAUGGGGAGCAAACAGGAUUAGAUACCCUGGUAGUCCAUGCCGUAAACGAUGUCUACUAGCCGUUGGGGCCUUUGAGGCUUUAGUGGCGCAGCUAACGCGAUAAGUAGACCGCCUGGGGAGUACGGUCGCAAGACUAAAACUCAAAUGAAUUGACGGGGGCCCGCACAAGCGGUGGAGCAUGUGGUUUAAUUCGAUGC
This 565-nucleotide ribosomal RNA is filed under the name bacterium E-2-0-2H. RNAcentral describes it as "bacterial SSU rRNA". It matches the Rfam family "Bacterial small subunit ribosomal RNA", at positions 401 to 957 of the family's 1533-position model. The record is from RNAcentral.